This 440-nucleotide ribosomal RNA is filed under the name uncultured bacterium. RNAcentral describes it as "partial 16S ribosomal RNA". It matches the Rfam family "Bacterial small subunit ribosomal RNA", at positions 338 to 795 of the family's 1533-position model. The record is from RNAcentral.
CCUACGGGUGGCAGCAGUGGGGAAUAUUGCACAAUGGGGGAAACCCUGAUGCAGCGACGCCGCGUGAAUGAAGAAGUAUUUUGGUAUGUAAAGUUCUAUCAGCAGGGAAGAAGAUGACGGUACCUGACUAAGAAGCCCCGGCUAACUACGUGCCAGCAGCCGCGGUAAUACGUAGGGGGCAAGCGUUAUCCGGAUUUACUGGGUGGAAAGGGAGCGUAGGCGGUUACGCAAAUCUGGAGUGAAAGCCCAGGGCUUAACUCGGGGACUGCUUUGGAAACUGUGGAGCUAGAGUGCAGGAGAGGUAAGUGGAAUUCCUAGUGUAGCGGUGAAAUGCGUAGAUAUUAGGAGGAACACCAGUGGCGAAGGCGGCUUACUGGACUGUAACUGACGUUGAGGCUCGAAAGCGUGGGGAGCAAACAGGAUUAGAUACCCGAGUAGUC